CCUACGGGUGGCAGCAGUGGGGAAUAUUGGGCAAUGGGCGCAAGCCUGACCCAGCAACGCAGCGUGAAGGAAGAAGGCUCUCCGGUUGUAAACUUCUUUUCCCAGGGACGAAACAAGUGACGGUACCUGAGGAAUAAGCCACGGCUAACUACGUGCCAGCAGCCGCGGUAAUACGUAGGUGGCAAGCGUUAUCCGGAUUUACUGGGUGUAAAGGGCGUGUAGGCGGGACUGCAAGUCAGAUGUGAAAACUACGGGCUCAACCUGUGGCCUGCAUUUGAAACUGUAGUUCUUGAGUACUGGAGAGGCAGACGGAAUUCCUAGUGUAGCGGUGAAAUGCGUAGAUAUAAGGAGGAACACCAGUGGCGAAGGCGGUUUGCUGGACAGCAACUGACGCUGAGGCGCGAAAGCGUGGGGAGCAAACAGGAUUAGAUACCCCAGUAGUC
Molecule: ribosomal RNA, 443 nt
Filed under: uncultured bacterium
Lineage: Bacteria
Description: partial 16S ribosomal RNA
Rfam family: Bacterial small subunit ribosomal RNA
Source: RNAcentral